Molecule: ribosomal RNA, 586 nt
Filed under: Streptococcus constellatus
Lineage: Bacteria; Bacillati; Bacillota; Bacilli; Lactobacillales; Streptococcaceae
Description: bacterial SSU rRNA
Rfam family: Bacterial small subunit ribosomal RNA
Source: RNAcentral
GCGGCGUGCCUAAUACAUGCAAGUAGAACGCACAGGAUGCACCGUAGUUUACUACACCGUAUUCUGAGAGUUGCGAACGGGUGAGUAACGCGUAGGUAACCUGCCUGGUAGCGGGGGAUAACUAUUGGAAACGAUAGCUAAUACCGCAUAAGAACAUUUACUGCAUGGUAGAUGUUUAAAAGGUGCAAAAGCAUCACUACCAGAUGGACCUGCGUUGUAUUAGCUAGUUGGUGAGGUAACGGCUCACCAAGGCAACGAUACAUAGCCGACCUGAGAGGGUGAUCGGCCACACUGGGACUGAGACACGGCCCAGACUCCUACGGGAGGCAGCAGUAGGGAAUCUUCGGCAAUGGGGGGAACCCUGACCGAGCAACGCCGCGUGAGUGAAGAAGGUUUUCGGAUCGUAAAGCUCUGUUGUUAAGGAAGAACGUGUGUGAGAGUGGAAAGUUGCACACAGUGACGGUACUCAACCAGAAAGGGACGGCUAACUACGUGCCAGCAGCCGCGGUAAUACGUAGGUCCCGAGCGUUGUCCGGAUUUAUUGGGCGUAAAGCGAGCGCAUGCGGUUAGAUAAGUCUGAAGUGAA